AUCCUUUUAAUUAAGUUAGACCUAAGGUUAGAACCAAAGACUUAAUGGACUAAAAAGAGUCGUUGAUCAAAUCUAACCAAUAGUUGAUUUAGAUUAGGUCAAGGAUACUCUAGAUCAAAUAUAAUAGUUAUAGUUAAUCGAGUCUAUAUCUUUGAUUAAACUAAAUAGACCUUGAUUGAGGCUCAAUAAUUGAGCUCGAGUCAUUGGACUGAUUAAAUCACUUAGUGAUU
Molecule: long non-coding RNA, 230 nt
Filed under: Elaeis guineensis (African oil palm)
Lineage: Eukaryota; Viridiplantae; Streptophyta; Magnoliopsida; Arecales; Arecaceae
Description: long non-coding RNA (EGUI_LNC076243)
Source: RNAcentral